GACGAACGCUGGCGGCGUGCUUAACACAUGCAAGUCGAACGGAAAGGCCCUGCUUUUGUGGGGUGCUCGAGUGGCGAACGGGUGAGUAACACGUGAGUAACCUGCCCUUGACUUUGGGAUAACUUCAGGAAACUGGGGCUAAUACCGGAUAGGAGCUCCUGCUGCAUGGUGGGGGUUGGAAAGUUUCGGCGGUUGGGGAUGGACUCGCGGCUUAUCAGCUUGUUGGUGGGGUAGUGGCUUACCAAGGCUUUGACGGGUAGCCGGCCUGAGAGGGUGACCGGCCACAAUGGGACUGAGGUACGGCCCAGACUCCUACGGGAGGCAACAGUGGGGAAUAUUGCACAAUGGGCGGAAGCCUGAUGCAGCAACGCCGCGUGCGGGAUGACGGCCUUCGGGUUGUAAACCGCUUUCGCCUGUGACGAAGCGUGAGUGACGGUAAUGGGUAAAGAAGCACCGGCUAACUACGUG
RNAcentral lists this ribosomal RNA (468 nucleotides) under uncultured bacterium. RNAcentral describes it as "partial 16S ribosomal RNA". It matches the Rfam family "Bacterial small subunit ribosomal RNA", at positions 28 to 507 of the family's 1533-position model. The record is from RNAcentral.